RNAcentral lists this ribosomal RNA (449 nucleotides) under uncultured bacterium. Its description in RNAcentral is "bacterial SSU rRNA". It matches the Rfam family "Bacterial small subunit ribosomal RNA", at positions 329 to 792 of the family's 1533-position model. The record is from RNAcentral.
GCCCAGACUCCUACGGGAGGCAGCAGUGGGGAAUAUUGGACAAUGGGGGGAACCCUGAUCCAGCGACGCCGCGUGAGUGAAGAAGUAUUUCGGUAUGUAAAGCUCUAUCAGCAGGGAAGAAAGAAAUGACGGUACCUGACUAAGAAGCCCCGGCUAACUACGUGCCAGCAGCCGCGGUAAUACGUAGGGGGCAAGCGUUAUCCGGAUUUACUGGGUGUAAAGGGAGCGCAGACGGCAGUGCAAGUCUGGAGUGAAAGCCCGGGGCCCAACCCCGGAACUGCUCUGGAAACUGUGCGGCUAGAGUACUGGAGGGGCAGGCGGAAUUCCUAGUGUAGCGGUGAAAUGCGUAGAUAUCAGGAGGAACACCGGUGGCGAAGGCGGCCUGCUGGACUGCAACUGACGUUGAGGCUCGAAAGCGUGGGGAGCAAACAGGAUUAGAUCCCCCCGUA